UGCUGUGCUGAGUUAGAAUCUGACUACAAUUUGCUGCUCACAUCAGCUGAGCCAGUAAAAGGGAAGCAGCUCCAUUGCUCUAAACAACUGUGGAGUGAAGGACCCACCUCGUGCACUGAAGCUCCUGGGACAUUGUCCUCCGAUAAUUCAUACUGGCAUAGUACAUCUCUGCUAGAUGCUCUGACCUUGGAAACCUCAUACCCAAAUAACUCUCUUGUGCAUGGCUGGGACUGGCCUUGGAGACAGAGCUCUGGCAUCUGCAUGUUUGAAAACCGCAAUCUGAGACAUGCAUCCACUUCAGAUGUGACGUUAGUGGGGUGCAAGUAAGAUGGUAGAUUAAACUGGGGAGAAGGUGUAACAGUCCACAGGGCCUAGCAGGUUCCAAGAGAAAGCUGCAUCCCCAGCACAUGCUGAGUUCAACAGGAACUCAGUAUUACAGGAAAUACUGGACACUCAGUGGCCAGCUAAUGGCGUUAUGGGGUAACACUCUGCUUCUAUUAAUAAAAUUAAUAUUAAAACUGUUUACCGAAACUGUUGGUAUGACCACUAGCCAAAUACAGUGAUGGUGUUUCCAUUCCAUGCUGGUGAACUGAGGCAUGAUGUAGGCGUUCUUGUGUCUAUUUUCAGUAUUUAACUUCCAACUGACACUCCCAUUUAGGAGCCAAAAUCCUUUUGGCUUUGAGGAGUCACUUUUUUUUUAUUGAGUUUAGAACAAGAAUUCUGAAGUCUUUCCUUAUCAAGCUGCCUCCUUAGGUCUUUAAAAUUGAGAGUGAAAUGCUUAAGCUAGUGAAAGCUAGCUAGCUAACUACUGUCAGUCAAUGUUUUAAGAGAUAGGGACGUUCCUGAAGAUGCAGAGGCAGGCAGUCUGCAGCAAAAGACUCAGCAGCUCUUGAAGUUUUUGUCACUGGUUUUCCAUAGAAUUAUGCAGUGUGGAGGAGGUUGGGAGAAGGACUGGUGGUGGCUCUUGCUGUUUGGGGGAGGAGGGAUUGAUGCUAGUGAUGAAUUUUGUUUUUCUCUGAAAGACCAGCUGUCUGACUGUACAGAUAGUGGUUACUUCGGUUGUUAUGUGCUUAAGGAAAAAGGACAAUAUAUCUCUCUGUUGUUUGGGCGAUAUGCAAAUAAAAUGUGUAUUGCCAGGUGGAAAAUACGCUCUGCUGGUAACUAUACUGAUGUAGACCUUCCUGUUUCCAUUACAAUGAUGGACUCUUCACUUACUGAGAUUGACUGUGCAGAGCCAACACUACCAGCCAGUUUGGUCCCAUCCAGUGAUCACUUAACUUCACCUGAAGAAGUUCUUACAUCCUCUUUGGAAAGCACUGCACCAGUAAUAGGCUGCCUUGUUAUGGAGGAAAAAUCACCCAAGUGCUCACGUGAAAAAGAGGAAGAUAUGCCAACUUCUGUAGCAAUGAAGAAAAACAACAAUAAGGAUCCGGCUGGUCCCGAAUCAGGAACGGAUCUGACCAAGAAGGAAUUCUGCCCUGUGAUGGAAGAACACAAAACCGCGUUUCAAAACAUUUUAAAGGAAGACCUGGAGGUGGACCAGGAAAAGAAAAACAAAGAGCAGAGUGAGGAAGCGCCACCCAUGGUUUCCAGUAGGAAAGGUAAGAGGUUUUUGCUGAACACAGAUGUGUAACUCGCAGGAGUGCAUGCCUUGGUCAUCUGUGUCAGGAGGUGUGUAAAGAGGUGCAGAGAAAUGCCUGCCCCACACCAGUUAUUAUGAGGGGUUUUGUUUUAAAGAAUAGUAGGUGUAGUUAAGGAUCAAAAUGGGUUAGCAAUGAAGAAGAGGAAGAUAUUAUCAUACAAAACCUGUUUCUCUGACUUCUACAGAUACUGAUCUAACAGACCCCUUCUUCCUCUAGGCAGGAAGGAAAAUUUCUUCAGGGUUGCAAAGGAGUUGGGAUAUUUGAAGCAGUUCUGGCACAUGCCUCCCCCCUCCCCAAAGAUUUGUAAAGGGUCAAAGAUUUGUACAGUGGCAUCCUUUCUGCUAGCUAGAGUUUGGGGUAAUACAGUAUUGAAAAGGUAGCCAAUGUUUCCACUUAACUGUGUGCUUAGACAUCCCUACUCUUCUAAUCACCUCGCCUUUUGCCUUUGGAGUUCACUAAGUUAGUGAUGUAGCAAGUCACAAAACAUCCCGAACCCAUGGGCUGGGGACUUAAAGCAAAACCUAUAAUUAACUUUCCUAUUCUAAUUAAAUGCCAGUUGAAGCCAACUAAAGAACUAACUUUUGGGGCUUUGUACAAGUAAGACAGCACUGUCACUGGUACUAAUCCUAACAUACUCUGAAAUAUGCAUUUUUUAUUUUUUUUUAAUUGGCAAGAGCUCAACACUGGCAAUCUUUAACAGUGGCUUCUGUUGGAGCUUAAAAGAUUUACAUGAGCUGCUUUUUAGGAGGCUGCUUUUCACUUUUGAGAACUUUUUUUUUCCUCUCUUCUCAGGGAGUUCACCCUCUGCAGGUGGCAUUAAAGGAGAUAAAUCAAAGCCAAAUGAACCGUAAGUGUUUUGACUUUCAAUGAUCACCUGCAGGCAUGAAUUUAAAGCUGCAGUCUGUUACAUGAU
This 2556-nucleotide long non-coding RNA is filed under the name Calidris pygmaea (Spoon-billed sandpiper). Its description in RNAcentral is "lncRNA (ENSCPGG00000010356.1)". Lineage: Eukaryota; Metazoa; Chordata; Aves; Charadriiformes; Scolopacidae. The record is from RNAcentral.